UAGGGAAUCUUCCACAAUGGGCGCAAGCCUGAUGGAGCAACGCCGCGUGAGUGAUGAAGGCCUUCGGGUUGUAAAACUCUGUCUUCUGUGACGAACAAGCCUGUGAGUGGAAAACUCAGGCCCUGACGGUAACAGAGGAGGAAGCCACGGCUAACUACGUGCCAGCAGCCGCGGUAAUACGUAGGUGGCAAGCGUUGUCCGGAAUCACUGGGCGUAAAGCGCGCGCAGGCGGCGAUCUACGUCUGGGGUGAAAGCCCGGAGCUCAACUCCGGGACUGCCUUGGAUACGGGAUCGCUUGAGGAUUGGAGAGGCAAGGGGAAUUCCACGUGUAGCGGUGAAAUGCGUAGAUAUGUGGAGGAACACCUGUGGCGAAGGCGCCUUGCUGGCCAAUUUCUGACGCUGAGGCGCGAAAGCGUGGGGAGCAAACA
RNAcentral lists this ribosomal RNA (428 nucleotides) under uncultured Alicyclobacillus sp. RNAcentral describes it as "bacterial SSU rRNA". It matches the Rfam family "Bacterial small subunit ribosomal RNA", at positions 355 to 774 of the family's 1533-position model. The record is from RNAcentral. RNAcentral also lists the same sequence under 1 other name. Lineage: Bacteria; Bacillati; Bacillota; Bacilli; Caryophanales; Alicyclobacillaceae.